This 733-nucleotide ribosomal RNA is filed under the name uncultured bacterium. Its description in RNAcentral is "bacterial SSU rRNA". It matches the Rfam family "Bacterial small subunit ribosomal RNA", at positions 754 to 1499 of the family's 1533-position model. The record is from RNAcentral.
CGAAAGUGCGGGUAUCGAACAGGAUUAGAUACCCUGGUAGUCCGCACGGUAAACGAUGGAUGCCCGCUUUUCGGUCAUAGGACCGUGAGGNCAAGUGAAAACAUUAAGCAUCCCACCUGGGGAGUACGCCGGCAACGGUGAAACUCAAAGGAAUUGACGGGGGCCCGCACAAGCGGAGGAACAUGUGGUUUAAUUCGAUGAUACGCGAGGAACCUUACCCGGGCUUGAAUUGCAGAUGAAGGAUCCAGAGAUGGUGACGNCCUUCGGGGCAUCUGUGAAGGUGCUGCAUGGUUGUCGUCAGCUCGUGCCGUGAGGUGUCGGCUCAAGUGCCAUAACGAGCGCAACCCCUCUCUUCAGUUGCCAUCAGGUAAAGCUGGGCACUCUGGAGACACUGCCACCGCAAGGUGUGAGGAAGGUGGGGAUGACGUCAAAUCAGCACGGCCCUUACGUCCGGGGCUACACACGUGUUACAAUGGGGGGUACAGCAAGCCGGCUGCCCGCAAGGUCAGUCCAAUCAAGAAAGCCCUCCUCAGUUCGGACUGGGGUCUGCAACCCGACCCCACGAAGCUGGAUUCGCUAGUAAUCGCGCAUCAGCCAUGGCGCGGUGAAUACGUUCCCGGGCCUUGUACACACCGCCCGUCAAGCCAUGAAAGCCGGGGGUGCCUGAAGUCCGUGACCGCAAGGAUCGGCCUAGGGCAAAACUGGUAAUUGGGGCUAAGUCGUAACAAGGUAG